This 444-nucleotide ribosomal RNA is filed under the name uncultured Bellilinea sp. RNAcentral describes it as "bacterial SSU rRNA". It matches the Rfam family "Bacterial small subunit ribosomal RNA", at positions 28 to 482 of the family's 1533-position model. Lineage: Bacteria; Bacillati; Chloroflexota; Anaerolineae; Anaerolineales; Anaerolineaceae. The record is from RNAcentral.
GAUGAACGCUGGCGGCGUGCCUAAUACAUGCAAGUCGAACGAGGCCCUUUGUAUUCGUACGAAGGUGUCCUAGUGGCGAACGGGUGAGUAACACGUAGGUGACCUACCCCUAAGCGGGGGACAACUCCGGGAAACUGGAGCUAAUACCCCAUGUUCUCCAUGGUGUUAGAGGACCAUGGAGCAAAGGAGCAAUCCACUUUGGGAGGGGCCUGCGGCCCAUCAGCUAGUUGGUAGGGUAAUGGCCUACCAAGGCUAUGACGGGUAGGGGACCUGAGAGGGUGGUCCCCCACACUGACACUGAAACACGGGUCAGACACCUACGGGUGGCAGCAGUAGGGAAUAUUGCACAAUGGGCGAAAGCCUGAUGCAGCAACGCCGCGUGCGCGAUGAAGGCCUUCGGGUUGUAAAGCGCUUUUCUGGGGGAAGAGGAAGGACGGUACCCCA